Molecule: long non-coding RNA, 380 nt
Filed under: Zonotrichia albicollis (white-throated sparrow)
Lineage: Eukaryota; Metazoa; Chordata; Aves; Passeriformes; Passerellidae
Description: lncRNA (ENSZALG00000005518.1)
Source: RNAcentral
GCACAGGUUCCUCAGGCACAAGACUCUGCAGGCUAUUUUGGUUGGUCCUGCCAUGAAGAUUACUGCAAAUCCACUGAGGAAAAAAACCAAGGAGGCAUCAGAAGCUAAUAUUGGUGACGAGAAGGAUAAAAGCAGAAACCCAGCAACAAAUACUUUGCAUGUUUGAGUGAGAGACUUGAAACUUUCCCCAGCUUGGAAGAGGGUGCAGAGCAAUCAGAAAAUCUGCACAAGAAGAAAAUGAAGCCAGCACUUUCAUUCAGAAGUUCGUAGCAGACCCUUCUUUGCACCUGCCAUCUCUGUGCAGACAGGUACUAAAAUUCACGUCUAACUGUGUCAGAAAUACUGCAUUCAGCUGUCUCAGCUUCUGUCACAGGCAUAGC